Molecule: long non-coding RNA, 419 nt
Filed under: Mytilus galloprovincialis (Mediterranean mussel)
Lineage: Eukaryota; Metazoa; Mollusca; Bivalvia; Mytilida; Mytilidae
Source: RNAcentral
UAUAAACCCUAGUUAUCACACACAAAAAAUUAGAAUUUUUUCGAAGAUAUGCAUUUUCAUCAUCCAACUUGAAAGACUGUCGUCAAGUACUUUCAGUAAAAAAAAUAGCUAUUCGAACACACCUUCUCUGUUUUUGUGAUUCAUUAGGUAGGUAUUUCACUUGACCCAUAUAUUUCAUCUUUUAGUACUGUGAUUUUUUUUGUGUUAUAAAGUCAACCUGUAGCUUUGAUAUAUAAAAUUGAUAGAAUCUGAAGCGAGACGAUGUAUGAAAUAUUCUUGCUUUGUACGAUAUCAAGACAAAAUACUCAACUCAAACACGCCUAACAUAAAAAGGUGCACUCGAUUUUCUCUUUUCGAUACAAUUGUUACCCAUUUUUUUGGAAUUUUUUCUUGAGUCACAUAAUGGAAGGGCAGACACG